Molecule: long non-coding RNA, 10311 nt
Filed under: Homo sapiens (human)
Lineage: Eukaryota; Metazoa; Chordata; Mammalia; Primates; Hominidae
Description: non-protein coding LINC01780:14
Source: RNAcentral
AUGUGGAUCAAGGCUGGAGGAUGACAAGCUCCUGACUGAUAGAUACAUGGAGACUUCGCUGGUGAUUUAUUGGCUUUCUGCACCUGACGAGAACCACUAGGCCUAUCUGAGGAGGGAAAUAUAUGGGCUUUCCUGACUCCAAGUGGCAGCCCCGGGGCGAGCAUGUGAUGUCAAGCUGGGCAGAGGAAAGCGGAGCUGUGCACCGGCCUGUGUACUGUAAGCCGGCCCGGGUCGUAAAAGUGUCAGCACGCGAUAUAUUUCUUGCAGGGGAUCCUCUCUGGCUCUUGCCAGCGCCUCUCCCCCGUGGCUGGCAGCCGCCCUAGCCGGGCCUGCAAACAGCGGAUGCCCCAGGUCGCUAUCCCUCCGCCCUGCCCCGGAGCGCCGGGCCCUCACGUUCUCGCUCCAGCCUGGGGUCUCUCACGUGGCAUCUGGCCCUGGGGACGGUGCAGCGGAGGAGUUAAUUGCUGUCACUCCUGACUUCAGCGAAAGAGGUCGAUCGUGGGGCUUCUUCCUCGGGGUUAGCAGGGGCCUGGAGUGGAUGUUUAGUCUACCGGUCAGACUCCAGGUCUUAUAUCUUGAAACUGUAAGUCCCUGAAUUCACAGACAAUUCAGAGUAAGGAUGGAGGCAAAGAAGAGGACCUUGGGUUUACUGUUCACGAGAUGACCUCAUAAAGGUGUUCAGUGAUGAAGAGGAGUGGCUGAAGAGGUAAGGAGAACACUCAAAGCAACAACAGCAAAACGUACAGUAUGAAGGGGGUAGUCAUAAGGUCAGUCCAUAACCCUGCCAGCAUCAUCCAGAUAGAAGUGGAUCUGCUAUCCCUCCCCACACCUGACUUCACUACCUGCACACCCACAAGCAGGGCAGCACUAGCCCCCAGUGCUCUUCUGUGCAUAUUAGAGUCUUCCCUGGAGGGCUCAGUACCUUGCUGGGACUCAUGGCAUGGGGAGCAGAACCCAGGCUGAAUUUCAGUCCCUACAAGGUUUUAAGUACAGGGAUCAGCCUGCACAACCGAAUGGGAGGCCCGGCCCUCAUCUGCCCUUCUGUAACUUGUCUUUCCCUGCCAGGCCUCCCUCGGAGCUCAUUGUUGAAAUCUGGCAUCCAGAGCUAUGGAUUCCCCGCUCUGCCAUUUACAAACUGUAUGAUUAGGGCUCAUCAGUUCAUCUCUCUGAGUUACUUUCUUUUCUGAAAUGGAGGUAGGGCUACUUCUCUCACAUGGCUUUAUGAGGGUGAAGUGGUUUCCAAUGAGCACUCAUCUGGAUAUUCUAGGCCCAUCCACUCACAUAGCUAAUGACACUCCUUCUUUACAAGAUGAAGGAUUAGGAGAUGAUUUUAAAUCUUUUAGCUGGAAGGGCCUUUAAGAGAUACCUGUGUCUGUCUUGGGCCUUAGAGUGAGUAAAGGGACAGCAGGUGGUCAGGCCCUGCCAACAGCAGGAUAUUUUCUGCAGGUGCCCAACAGCAGCCCUGGAGUUGCCUCAGAUCCUCCCACUGGAGGCUUCAUUGCUGUAUCUGCCAUUCCAUCCCUGGCAGGGAUAGGCCAAGGUCUUAGAUACCCUGGCACCCAACACUCCAUACAGGCUUGUCUCUGAGCAGACUCUCGGUGAAGGCUAUUGUGCUAGUCUGAGCAGAACGGGAGGUGCAGGGAUUGCAGCUGUUCCUUCACUGCAGUGUCAGUUUGGAAAUUUUCCCAGAAGACUUAGCUGGUGCCUCUUCUUUGAUAUUCAUGAGUGUGUGAACACAACGACCCUCCUCAUCUUUGUCGAACCCAUUCCUCUUGGACCACACCAAGUAUAGUCCAAAAAGAAGGUGAUUUAGGAGAAGUGUGAAGGCACCCUCAGUUCUGGCAAAUUCUUGGGUAUCCUGCAAUUCUCACUCAGCAGCAUCCCAACAAAACCAGAGAAAAGACCCGGGGCCGGGAGAUGAGCCAGGAAAAUAGCUUCAUGUUUGACUUGAGGGUACAGGCAUCUGCAGAAGCCAGCCUGGAAGACUCUUCAUGAGCCCAGCUGCAAGGGGCAUCCUAGAGCCAGUUCAUGAGCCCAACUUUACAGAGGCAUCAAGCUUCCCCUCCCCUAGAAAGGAAGGCUAUAGAGCAAGCAGAAUGUUUAAGACACAGGCUUUCAAGUGAGGCUGACUUGGAUUAGCGGAACUAAGGAUGACGUGGCCCUGUGCAAGGAACUUAAUAUCUCUGGGCUUCAUUCUUUAUCUGUUUACCUACCCCCAGGUCCUGAAAGUACCACAGAAAUAUCUGUUUUUAUUCAGAGGAUAAUAAAACAGAAUAUUUACAUAUUGCUUCAUAUUCCCCCAGGAUAUUUUUAGAUUACCACAAUAUCCUAAGAGUUUGUUUAUGCAUGCUUUAUAGACCUGUAUCUGUGGUUAAAAAAGAUACAUAAAUACUUUAAAAUUUUAUAAUACAAGAGUAUAAGUUACCUGAUUUUUUAUGUGUUCCGCAGAUGGCUGUCUAGAGUCAACACAAACCUACCCCAAAGUUUGACCUUUGCCUUAAGUCAGUAACUGAGGAGGGCCACGGUCCUGAGUUCAGUCCAGACCCCAGGAAGAUUCAGAGCCUGCAGUUGUCCUCUGGUUUCUAAAGUAUGUUAUUGGGCUAAAGAUUUCAAGACAUUUAUCCUUCUUUGCUUUCUAUCGCAGCCAUUAAAUGUUUUAGAUAUUUUCUGCCAGAAGGCAGGAAUCAUGAAGAUAACAAAUAUUAAAGACAAAACCAAAUAACUUUUAAUGAGAAGGUCAGUCCGUGGUUUGAGUCUUUGGAAAGAAAUCAAGAACUCUGACUAUACUUGCUAUUUGACCAUUGAUUCUCUAGUGGAAAUGGGCAAAUCUUUUAUACCAGGGCAAAUUUUUCAGUAACGGGCCAGACAGCAAAUAUUUUAGGAAUUGUGGGCCAUACAGUCUCUCUCCCAACUACUUAACUCUUCAGCAUAGCAUAAAAGCAGCCAUAAACAAUACUACAACAAGUAUGGCUGCAUUCCAAUAAAACUUUAUUUACAAAAAUAGGCAGCACGCCAGAUUUGGCCCACAAGCUAUAGCUUUCUGACCCCUGCUUUGCCAAACUCAAUAACAAACAGAGAGGGAGACUCUUUUAAAAAAAUUAUAUUCAUUUGGGAGUAGCAUUGCAAUGGGAAUACGUGUGCCAUAGCAAAUUAUGAGCGUAUUCAAAGAGAUUGGGGCAAGGGGAAGUUUAUAAAGGCAAAACGAAGAGGAUUACAAUUGUUCAAAUCAAUUAUCCUUGGCUACAAGGGUGGCACAAGUCCAAGCUUGAACAGGCAGUUGCUAGACAGACAUCCUUACAGAAGUAUUUUCUGUGUAAGGUUGCAGUGGUCUUUUUGCAAAGCUAUAGUAAAUCACAGGGGUCAGUACAACCGUAGUGCAAUGGAUAAGCCUUGCCCUCGGAAAAUCUUCGUGAUCAUGGUAUCUCCCCUGCCAAAUAAAUAUUGUGACAGUUCUUAUCAGGCAUUCAUGUGUAAGAACUCUCCCUUGAUGGCCUUCCCUGGCUCCAUUUGCCAGGGUUUUAACAUAAAUUACUCCAUUUUGAUUCGGACAACUUUCAUAACUGCUUACCAUCUGUGCCUCUGUGUAUAAAAGUGGACAUACUAAAAUUUUUCCUUAGGGCUACAACUAAACAUCCAGCCUAGCCCUUAGCCAGCACCAAGGAAGAGGCCUGGGGGAUAGAGGAACAAAUAAUGAGACCAAGUCAGGCCAUCCCCCAUGGGGUGAGGCCUGCAGGUAGGUGGGCCCAGUGUGGUGUACCUCUAGCACAGUGCCUGGCACAAAAUUGCAGUUUAUUUUCUGAAUAAAUAACUCUUGGAUCAAUUGGUUGCUCUCUGGGAAUGUGACUUUGCUGUUGAGUUGUGCAGAGUACUCUCUGUCUCCAAGCCAAUCCCAGCUUCAGUAUCUCACCCCACAAUCCACAUUUCCCAGUGUCUGGAGUAACAACAAUGACCUGGGGCUGGGCUCUCAGCAAGUCAAACCCUGCCUCAACAAACCCAAACUGCUUUGGGGACCAAUGUGAUGCAAAUGUGUACUGAAUCCCCUGAAUUCCCCCUGGUGAUCCUGUCCUGUAACAGGCCCUCCCCAUCCCCUCAGGCCAGUGCAUUCAGGAAAUCAGUGACCACAGGAUGGUUUCUCAGCUGGAGGGAAGGUCAGCCUGCAUCUGAGCAUCUUAGAACAUGUUAUUUUGUUCCCACUGGUCAAUCCCGUCCAAGCUGUACACAUAGUGCCUAAGCCACGUUUGUUACUGCAGGCCUGUCUUCGGAAAGGUCACUGAACAGAAGGAGGAGGCACCUUACUCUCUUUUGUUACGUCUUCACCACUUUUGUCUAAAGGGAAGUUUAGCUGGAGGGCUGAGCACGCAGACAGGUUUCUGACUGUGCCACAUAGAUCCCACAUUGCUUCUCUGCCAUGAUUUAUCAUCUGUGACUUGACAUGUUCUGCACACACGGGCAUGUUGUACACAUUGAGACAUGCUUCCUGCAUUCAAAGAUUUUCCCAUAUUGAGGGCAUUUUCCUGGUGCAGAAUUGAAGACUGAAUUGAGGCAUUCAGAUUGACCUCAACAUCUACGGGUCUGGAGGAGGUUUGGGACGUUUCCUUUUCUUCUCUUCAGGGGCCCACUCCUGUUGUAAAGAGCAGCAGCAUUUAUAAUGAGGGCCCAGGAAAUGCGGGGGAGAGGGGAGAGCCUGCUAUCUCUGCAGUGGGUGACUGUUGUUUCCCUGAUCAACAAUGUAUCAUAUCCCAGCCUAAGCCUGCCUUUCUCCUUCCCCCUCCACAUGGGGAGGGGCCGUGGGCUCAGAGCUCACCUGGAAUGCCUCUGGUUGCUGAAGGGCUGGAUGGAGACUCUGAGACAACCUGAUGGAUCAUCUCAUAAACAGAGCCUGCAGGAAGGAAAAGAAAAUUAUGCCAGCAUAAUGCACUUACGAGAAAUAGAUACGUGCGGUGCAGGGAGAAAUGCUUUGAUAUUAAAAUUUUUGUAACUUAAAAAGGCAUGAAAAAUGAUACCGACCACUAACUAAUCAACAUUCCUUUGCGAAUACAGCUUCAGUUCCUAACCAAAAACACAUCCCUGCUAUUGUCUUGUCUGGAUCCAGAUGCAAACAUGAUUAAUUAAGUUUCUGGUGAGGAGUGGGACGAGGGCAGUGGGAACUGAUGGCUUGCUGAGGAUCCUUUUCAUAUACAGGCCUGGGGAGAAUCCCUUAGUCUGGGUGCCUAUUUCCCUCCACAUGUCAGGGCUUACCCCGUGCACUGACAGCCACGGGGGCAGUGAGUAGGCUGCAGCCAGACCCAUGGAGUGAGGCAGUGAGAGGCUGAAAGGAGAGGCUCUACAGACAGUACAGGGAGGCUCUUGGUAUCUCCCAUUGCCACUGCACAGCACAGCACGGCAGAGUAGCAAACGCAUAUGCCAUGUCUUGUUGGGAGACCUGGGCCCUGCUCCAGACUGCUACCAAGUAGUUUGGGACCUUGGAUGAGCUGCCUCAAUUUCUCCAUUUGUGAAAUUGGGAGGUGACAGCGUGCUGGCAGCCCUCGCAGCCCUCGCUCUCGGCCUUGGUGCCUGCCUACUCUGGCCGCCCUUGAGGAGCCCUUCGGCCCACGGCUGCACUGUGGGAGCCCCUUUCUGGGCUGGCCAAGGCUGGAGCCAGCUCCCUCAGCUUGCCGGGAGGUGUGGAGGGAGAAGCGCGGGCAGGAACCAGGGCUGCUCAUGGGGCUUGCCGGCCAGCGCGAGUUCUGGGUGGGCAUGGGCUCAGUGCCUGCGCACUCUGAGCGGCCGGCAGGCCUGCGAACCCCGGGCAGUGAGGGGCUUAGCUCCUGGGCCAGCAGCUGCUGUGCUCAAUUUCUCGCCGGGCCUUAGCUGCCUCCCCGCGGGGCAGGGCUCGGGACCUGCAGCCCACCAUGCCUGAGCCUCCUCCCGCCGUGGGCUCCUGUGUGGCUGGAGCCUCCCCGAGGAGCACCGCCCCCUGCUCCACCGCUCCCAGUCCCUCAACCACCCAAGGGCUGAGGAGUGCGGGCGCAUGGCACGGGACUGGCAGGCAGCUCCACCUGCGGCACCGGUACCGGAUCCACUGGGUGAAGCCAGCUGGGCUCCUGAGUCUGGUGGGGACUUGGAGAACCUUGGUGUAGACACUCUGUAUCUAGCUAAUCUAGUGGGGAUGUGGAGAACUUUUGUGUCUAGCUAAGGGAUUGUAAAUACACCAGUCGGCACUCUGUAUCUAGCUCAAGGUUUGUAAACACACCAAUCAGCACCCUGUGUCUAGCUCAGGGUUUGUGAAUGCACCAAUGGACACUCUGUAUCUGGCUACUCUGAUGGGGACUAGGAGAACCUUUGUGUCUAGCUCAGGGAUUGUAAACGCACCAAUCAGCACCCUGUCAAAACGGACCAUUCAGCUCUCUGUAAAACAGACCAAUCGGCUCUCUGUAAAAUGGACCAAUCAGCAGGAUGUGGGUGGGGCCAGAUAAGAGAAUAAAAGCAGGCUGCCCCAGCCAGCAGGCACAACCCUCUCGCCUCACCUGCCGCAGUGUGGAAGUUUUGUUCUUUGGCUCUUUGCAAAAAAUGUUGCUGCUGUUCACUCAUUGGGUCUACACUACCUUUAUGAGCUGUAACACUCACUGGGAAGGUCUGCAGCUUCACUCCUGAAGCCAGCGAGACCACGAACCCACCGGGAGGAACAAACAAUUCCAGACGCGCCGCCUUAAGAGCUGUAGCAGUCACGGCCGGGCACGGUGGCUCACGCCUGUAAUCCCAGCACUUUGGGAGGCCGAGACGGGCGGAUCACGAGGUCAGGAGAUCGAGACCAUCCUGGCUAACACGGUGAAACCCCGUCUCUACUAAAAAUACAAAAAAAAUUAGCUGGGCAUGGUGGCGCACGCCUGUAGUCCCAGCUACACGGGAGGCUGAGGCAGGAGAAUGGCGUGAACCCGGGAGGCGGAGCUUGCAGUGAGUCGAGAUCGCGCCACUGCACUUCAGCCUGGGCGACAGAGCGAAACUCCGUCUCAAAAAAAAAAAAAAAAAAGAGCUGUAGCAGUCACAGCAAAGGUAUGCAGCUUCACUCCUGAGUCAGCGAGACCAGGAACCCACCACAAGGAAGAAACUCCGAACACAUCCGAACAUCAGAAGGAACAAAUUCUGGACACGCUGCCUUUAAGAACUGUAACACUCAGCGCGAGGGUCCCCUGCUUCAUUCUUGAAGUCAGUGAGACCAAGAACCCACCAAUUCCAGACACAAAAGGAGAGGUUGGAUUAAAUGUUCCUCAAAGUCUUCCAUUUCUGGCUUUUUAUUCCAGUGCCCAAAGUCCUUCACACAAAGCAGGUGUCUUAUCAGUUGAUUGGUCAGGCAUGGCCACUAUUUUUGGCCGUGGGCAAAGGAGUCUGGUGGGGACGGGGCUGAGAAGUAUGCUAGGUGAGUGUCUCUGGCACAAAUGGCUGAGCUGCAGAGCCCCAAGCGGCAUGGCAGGGACCAGGAGACCCGAUUCCUGAUCUGCCGCAGUUAACCUGGUGACUAUGAGUGAGACACACAACUGCUCUCCAUCUCAGUGUCCCCAUUAGGAAACAGAAACACCAGGCCCAACCUACCCAAGUGUGUCAGGAAACUGAGAACUGCUCUGGUCUCAUGCUGGGACGGUGGCACAGUACACCAAGUGGUAUCUUCUCCCAAAGUCUGCUCCUGUGGUAGGAGUCAUAGGUCAUUGAAGUACACUAUAAUUGAGUGGUUAAGGUGGUGAGAUCCAAAGUCAGGCUGCCUGCAUUCAGAUCAUCCAGCAUCCUAACCAUUAGGCAAGUUACAGAACUCCUUUGGGCCUUGACUUUAUCUGUAAAAUGGGAAUAAUAAUCACAGAGCAUACCUCAUGGGAUUAUUAUGAAGAUUAAACACGUUAAAAACUUAAAAAUGCUUCUAAUUAUGCCUGGCACGUUCAGCAGGUAUUACAUAGGUGUUAGUUUUGUUACUGCCAACCUCUCUCAAGCUUUGGGUGCCCACCAAAUGUCCCUUUAGUGUGCACAGACUUGUGUCUUCUUCCAGGAGAGGGUAAGGAAAGCUGCCCAAACUUUCAGCUGCAUGGAACAAGUACCUUCAUUCAUUCAUUUCCAGGACAGAGAUCUCCGAGUGCCCACAAGGUACCAAGCCCUAUGCUUUGGAGGGUCAACGUGACUUUCCACCUUGGCUACCACCUGCAUCCACCAGGAGAGCACACAGUGGGUGCCUUCCCUGCAUGGUGAACAGGAGCAGCCUUGUGUAUGAGUGAAAGAGUUUUAUAAGGCCAGCUGGACCCCAGGGUGGUGCCGUGCCAGGUAUAACGCCAGAAGCUUCCCAUCAUACUUUAAGACUCUAGUGAGGGGAUUUGAGCCAGAGCCAAGACUAGGAUUUAGUGAGCUAUUUGAUUGGAGGUUUCGCUGCCUCCAUCUAAAGCCAAUUGAUUCCACUAGUGGUUUACCCUUUCUCAACAUCAGCUGUGACUGGCUGAUUUUUUAAGAUUACUAUCCACACCCUCUCAAACAUUAGAACAAUGAAUUUCCCAGUUCAAGUUCUAUAUUUUCUCAAUUCCAGAGGAAAGAAAAUGACUACUACAUGUGUGUGAUUUUGUCCCUGGGAGCAUCUAUGAAAUAUGCAGCAUUCUCUUUCUAGCUGGGAAAUCACUUUAAAAAUACUAUCUCUAAUUCAUCUUCAUGUUUUCGACAGGGAGUUUGUUAUUCCCGUUUCCCAGAUGGAGUAACUGAGAGCAGAGUCAGGAGACAGCUUGCUCAAGGACCUAGAACAACAGAAUGAUUUGGUGGUGGGGCCAAGAUUGAGUUCUUAUUUCCUGCCUCUCAAUCCAUUGCAACCCAGGAAUGACCUUUCUGGGCAAUGUUAGAAACAUGACCAUAUGAAAUGGAGAAUUUAGAUUACAAUUCCCUGGACCAUAUCCAGGACACUAAAAUGAGUGUGUUGCACUUGUGAAAUGCAUUCUAAGAAUUGUUUACUGUUCUGAAUGUAAGUUAGGAUGAAGCAGAUCUUCUACGGAGGCUCCAGGCUAAUCCCAGCUUCCCUCCCCACCCAAGCCCCGUGGACAAUGACUUGCAAUCCAUGUCAACAAAGAUUUAACCCUUACAGUGUGCAGGGGACUGCUGGGCUGGAUGUUUAUAAACAAACCAAGAUAAGACGGAACCUCCCUUGAAAGAACGGCAUGAGGAUGAAUACAAAAAUGAAAUGUCAGGCCCCAGCCUGUACAUAAACAGCCUUGUAUAUGUGAGUGGCAUGUCCCAUGCUCCAGCUGACCUAUCAGGAAGCCUAGGGACAGUAGCAAUACUUUUAGCAGCUGUGGCAGGCCUCCUCUCUGCAUUCUAGAGUGGCUCCCACUCCCCUCCAAUUUCAAAUGACUCCUUAUUUCAGGCUGCUUCUCUUGCCCUGGGACUUGGCCUUGUUGUUUGCGCUUUGGUUUUCCCUGCAUUUUGUUCUCAAGGCCUCGGGUUUGGACUCACCCCCCUCCCAACUCCACCAUUCUUCUAAGCCAAAACUGAUCUGAGGUCCCCUUUUAAAAAAUUUGACACAAUUUAACAGACAUGUGUUGAGUGUCCAAGAGAUACAAAUACACUAUAAUUUGCAUAUCACUCAAUAACAAGAAUGAUACUGUUUUCAAGGAAUUUAUAAUUUAAUAGGAUGAGAAAAGAACUCAUUAGGUUUCUUUCAAAAAAAAAUGGAGGAAAAAUACCUCUUGGCCACAUGCAUAUUUGAACAAAGGCAGAAGCUUGCCCAAAUUCUUUCUAGAAAUAACUGUGUUGGUUGAAGGUGGGUGGAAAAGAGGAUAAAGGCAUGGUAAACAUGGGAUGUAUUUCAGUUCCAUGGUGGACUGAAUGAAAACGUUUACAGAUGUUGAUACAUGUUUGCUUGCUUUUUCAAUUACAGUGAAGCAAAGUUCUAUCAACAGAUGUUGCCCAGGGCCAAUGCAGACAGAACCAACCAUAGAGAAAGAGAGCAUUAAGAUUAUUGUAUUAGUCAGUUUGGGCUGCCACAAAAAAUACUAGCCUAGGUGGCUUAAACAAUAUAAAUUUAUUUUCUCACAGUGUUGGAAGCUGGAAGUCCAAGAUCAAAGUGUCAGCAUGGUUGGUUUCUGGUGAGGGUGUCUUCCUGGCUUGUAGACAGCACCAACAUGCUGCAACCUCACAUCGCAGGGAGAGAGACAGCACAAGAGAGAGCAAACACUGGUGUCUCUUCUCAUAAGGGCACCAGUCCCAUCAUGAAGGCCCCACUCUCAGGACUUCAUGUAACACUAAUUACCUCCCAGAGGCUCCACUUCCAAAAACCAUCAUAUCGUGGGCUAGGACUUUAGCAUGUGAAUUUUG